This 533-nucleotide ribosomal RNA is filed under the name Marisora syntoma. Its description in RNAcentral is "Marisora sp. JRM-2020c partial 16S ribosomal RNA". It matches the Rfam family "Bacterial large subunit ribosomal RNA", at positions 1817 to 2605 of the family's 2925-position model. Lineage: Eukaryota; Metazoa; Chordata; Lepidosauria; Squamata; Scincidae. The record is from RNAcentral.
AGCCUUUAGCCAAACAAGUAUUAAAGGUCCUGCCUGCCCAGUGAUUUUUUUCAACGGCCGCGGUAUUCUAACCGUGCAAAGGUAGCGUAAUCACUUGUCUUUUAAAUAAAGACCUGUAUGAAUGGCUAAAUGAGGAUAAACCUGUCUCAUAUAACUAAUCAGUGAAACUGAUCUCCCAGUACAAAAGCUGGGAUAAUCCCAUAAGACGAGAAGACCCUGUGGAGCUUAAAACAACCACUAAACAACCACCCAGUUGACUUAGUAUUCGUUUUCAGUUGGGGCGACUUCGGAAUAAAAAAUAACUUCCGAGCACAGAGCCACAACCUCUAACCGAGGCCAACAAGCCAAAGCAUAAAAACAGACCCGGCCUAGCCGAUCAACGAACCAAGUUACCCCAGGGAUAACAGCGCAAUCUUCUUCGAGAGCCCCUAUCAACAAGAAGGUUUACGACCUCGAUGUUGGAUCAGGACACCCAAAUGGUGCAGCCGCUAUUAACGGUUCGUUUGUUCAACGAUUAAUAGUCCUACGUGAUC